RNAcentral lists this ribosomal RNA (256 nucleotides) under uncultured bacterium. RNAcentral's name for it is "partial 16S ribosomal RNA". It matches the Rfam family "Bacterial small subunit ribosomal RNA", at positions 335 to 605 of the family's 1533-position model. The record is from RNAcentral.
UUUCCCUCGGGGCGCAGCAGUGGGGAAUAUUGGGCAAUGGAGGCAACUCUGACCCAGCAACGCCGCGCGAGUGAUGAAGGUCUUCGGAUUGUAAAACUCUUUAAGUGGGGACGAAGAAAGUGACUGUACCCACAGAAUAAGCCUCGGCUAACUACGUGCCAGCAGCCGCGGCAAUACGUAGGAGGCAAGCGUUAUCCGGAAUGACUGGGCGUAAAGGGUGCGUAGGGGGUUUGGCAAGUUAGUAGCGUAAUUCCGG